RNAcentral lists this ribosomal RNA (468 nucleotides) under uncultured bacterium. RNAcentral describes it as "partial 16S ribosomal RNA". It matches the Rfam family "Bacterial small subunit ribosomal RNA", at positions 29 to 507 of the family's 1533-position model. The record is from RNAcentral.
ACGAACGCUGGCGGCGUGCUUAACACAUGCCAGUCGAACGAGGUCCAUGCAGUCGCAAGACUGCGGAAGAUCUAGUGGCGAACGGGUGCGUAACACGUGAGAAACCUGUCCCGGUCUCUGGAAUAACAAGUGGAAACACUUGCUAAUACCGGAUGCCGUCGAACCAUCGCAUGAUGGACUGACGAAAGGGCUACCGGAUCGGGAGGGUCUCGCGGCCUAUCAGCUUGUUGGUGAGGUAACGGCUCACCAAGGCAUCGACGGGUAGCUGGUCUGAGAGGAUGAUCAGCAACACUGGGACUGAGACACGGCCCAGACUCCUACGGGAGGCAGCAGUGGGGAAUCUUGCACAAUGGGCGAAAGACUGAUGCAGCAACGCCGCGUGCGGGAAGAAGGCCCUAGGGUUGUAAACCGCUUUCAGCAGGGAAGAAACUGACGGUACCUGUAGAAGAAGGUGCGGCCAACUACGUG